This 468-nucleotide ribosomal RNA is filed under the name uncultured bacterium. RNAcentral describes it as "partial 16S ribosomal RNA". It matches the Rfam family "Bacterial small subunit ribosomal RNA", at positions 28 to 507 of the family's 1533-position model. The record is from RNAcentral.
GACGAACGCUGGCGGCGUGCUUAACACAUGCCAGUCGAACGGAAAGGCCCUGCUUUUGUGGGGUGCUCGAGUGGCGAACGGGUGAGUAACACGUGAGUAACCUGCCCUUGACUUUGGGAUAACUUCAGGAAACUGGGGCUAAUACCGGAUAGGAGCUCCUGCUGCAUGGUGGGGGUUGGAAAGUUUCGGCGGUUGGGGAUGGACUCGCGGCUUAUCAGCUUGUUGGUGGGGUAGUGGCUUACCAAGGCUUUGACGGGUAGCCGGCCUGAGAGGGUGACCGGCCACAUUGGGACUGAGAUACGGCCCAGACUCCUACGGGAGGCAGCAGUGGGGAAUAUUGCACAAUGGGCGGAAGCCUGACGCAGCGACGCCGCGUGGGGGAUGACGGCCUUCGGGUUGUAAACCGCCUUCGCCUGUGACGAAGCGUGAGUGACGGUAAUGGGUAAAGAAGCACCGGCUAACUACGUG